This 440-nucleotide ribosomal RNA is filed under the name uncultured bacterium. RNAcentral's name for it is "partial 16S ribosomal RNA". It matches the Rfam family "Bacterial small subunit ribosomal RNA", at positions 338 to 795 of the family's 1533-position model. The record is from RNAcentral.
CCUACGGGUGGCAGCAGUGGGGAAUAUUGCACAAUGGGGGAAACCCUGAUGCAGCGACGCCGCGUGAGUGAAGAAGUAAUUCGUUAUGUAAAGCUCUAUCAGCAGGGAAGAAAAUGACGGUACCUGAGUAAGAAGCCCCGGCUAACUACGUGCCAGCAGCCGCGGUAAUACGUAGGGGGCAAGCGUUAUCCGGAUUUACUGGGUGGAAAGGGAGCGUAGACGGCAGUGCAAGUCUGGAGUGAAAGGCGGGGGCUCAACCCCCGGACUGCUCUGGAAACUAUACGGCUGGAGUGCAGGAGAGGUAAGUGGAAUUCCUAGUGGAGCGGUGAAAUGCGUAGAUAUUAGGAGGAACACCAGUGGCGAAGGCGGCUUACUGGACUGUAACUGACGUUGAGGCUCGAAAGCGUGGGGAGCAAACAGGAUUAGAUACCCCAGUAGUC